This 63-nucleotide transfer RNA is filed under the name Acinetobacter schindleri CIP 107287. Its description in RNAcentral is "tRNA-Ile". It matches the Rfam family "tRNA", at positions 6 to 65 of the family's 71-position model. From Rfam's summary of the family: Transfer RNA (tRNA) molecules are approximately 80 nucleotides in length. Their secondary structure includes four short double-helical elements and three loops (D, anti-codon, and T loops). Further hydrogen bonds mediate the characteristic L-shaped molecular structure. tRNAs have two regions of fundamental functional importance: the anti-codon, which is responsible for specific mRNA codon recognition, and the 3' end, to which the tRNAs corresponding amino acid is attached (by aminoacyl-tRNA synthetases). tRNAs cope with the degeneracy of the genetic code in two manners: having more than one tRNA (with a specific anti-codon) for a particular amino acid; and 'wobble' base-pairing, i.e. permitting non-standard base-pairing at the 3rd anti-codon position. The record is from RNAcentral. Lineage: Bacteria; Pseudomonadati; Pseudomonadota; Gammaproteobacteria; Moraxellales; Moraxellaceae.
UGUAGCUCAGUUGGUUAGAGCACACGCUUGAUAAGCGUGGGGUCACAAGUUCAAGUCUUGUCA